CGAGCUAUGUUCUAGGAACGGUAUUUUUUACAAUAAUACUUAGAUUUGUGCAAUUCAUUCUAGUUCGA
RNAcentral lists this transfer RNA (68 nucleotides) under Hydarella orientalis. RNAcentral's name for it is "tRNA-Val". Lineage: Eukaryota; Metazoa; Arthropoda; Insecta; Hemiptera; Coreidae. The record is from RNAcentral.